RNAcentral lists this ribosomal RNA (468 nucleotides) under uncultured bacterium. Its description in RNAcentral is "partial 16S ribosomal RNA". It matches the Rfam family "Bacterial small subunit ribosomal RNA", at positions 28 to 507 of the family's 1533-position model. The record is from RNAcentral.
GACGAACGCUGGCGGCGUGCUUAACACAUGCAAGUCGAACGGAAAGGCCCUGCUUUUGUGGGGUGCUCGAGUGGCGAACGGGUGAGUAACACGUGAGUAACCUGCCCUUGACUUUGGGAUAACUUCAGGAAACUGGGGCUAUUACCGGAUAGGAGCUCCUGCUGCAUGGUGGGGGUUGGAAAGUUUCGGUGGUUGGGGAUGGACUCGCGGCUUAUCAGCUUGUUGGUGGGGUAGUGGCUUACCAAGGCUUUGACGGGUAGCCGGCCUGAGAGGGUGACCGGCCACAUUGGGACUGAGAUACGGCCCAGACUCCUACGGGAGGCAGCAGUGGGGAAUAUUGCACAAUGGGCGGAAGCCUGAUGCAGCAACGCCGCGUGCGGGAUGACGGCCUUCGGGUUGUAAACCGCUUUCGCCUGUGACGAAGCGUGAGUGACGGUAAUGGGUAAGGAAGCACCGGCUAACUACGUG